Molecule: ribosomal RNA, 253 nt
Filed under: uncultured bacterium
Lineage: Bacteria
Description: partial 16S ribosomal RNA
Rfam family: Bacterial small subunit ribosomal RNA
Source: RNAcentral
UACGUAGGGGGCAAGCGUUGUCCGGAAUCAUUGGGCGUAAAGCGCGCGUAGGCGGCCCGGUAAGUCCGUUGUGAAAGUCAAAGGCUCAACCUUUGAACGCCGAUGGAUACUGCCGGGCUAGAGUCCGGAAGAGGCGAGUGGAAUUCCUGGUGUAGCGGUGAAAUGCGCAGAUAUCAGGAGGAACACCAAUGGCGAAGGCGGCUCGCUGGGACGUGACUGACGCUGAGACGCGAAAGCGUGGGGAGCAAACAGG